Molecule: non-coding RNA, 381 nt
Organism: Melospiza melodia melodia
Lineage: Eukaryota; Metazoa; Chordata; Aves; Passeriformes; Passerellidae
Source: the annotation of a RefSeq genome assembly
CGGGCGGCCGUGACCCUGCUGGAGUGCGGGGGGGACCUCCAGCCCCCCGGGGGGUCCCUGACGUUGCUGUGCCGCGCAUCUGGGUUCAAUUUUGGAAGUUUUGGAAUGUUCUGGAUCCUUCAGAGACCUGGGCAGGCGCUGCAAUUCGUUGCAUACAUCAACAGUGGUGGCAGCACCACCUACUCGCAGUCGGUCAAGGGUCGGUUCACGAUCUCCAGGGACAACGGGCAGAGCUCGGUGACGCUGACCAUGAACAACCUCAAGGACGAGGAUUCCGGCAUUUAUUUCUGUGCCAAACGUUCCAAUGAUUACGCUGGCAAUGCUAAUGUUGAUGCUUUUGGCAUCAAUCCUGGCAUUUCCCCCAAACUCCACCCCUGCUGA